CACGUAGGGGGCAAGCGUUGUCCGGAUUUAUUGGGCGUAAAGAGCUCGUAGGCGGUUCGGUAAGUCGGGUGUGAAACCUCCAGGCUCAACCUGGAGAUGCCACCUGAUACUGCUGUGACUCGAGUCCGGUAGGGGAGCGUGGAAUUCCUGGUGUAGCGGUGGAAUGCGCAGAUAUCAGGAGGAACACCGGUGGCGAAGGCGGGUCUCUGGGCAGUAACUGACGCUGAGGAGCGAAAGCGUGGGGAGCGAACAGG
This 254-nucleotide ribosomal RNA is filed under the name uncultured bacterium. RNAcentral's name for it is "partial 16S ribosomal RNA". It matches the Rfam family "Bacterial small subunit ribosomal RNA", at positions 524 to 776 of the family's 1533-position model. The record is from RNAcentral.